GAUGAACGCUGGCGGCGUGCCUAAUACAUACAAGUCGAGCGAACAGACGAGGAGCUUGCUCCUCUGACGUUAGCGGCGGACGGGUGAGUAACACGUGGAUAACCUACCUAUAAGACUGGGAUAACUUCGGGAAACCGGAGCUAAUACCGGAUAAUAUAUUGAACCGCAUGGUUCAAUAGUGAAAGACGGUUUUGCUGUCACUUAUAGAUGGAUCCGCGCCGCAUUAGCUAGUUGGUAAGGUAACGGCUUACCAAGGCGACGAUGCGUAGCCGACCUGAGAGGGUGAUCGGCCACACUGGAACUGAGACACGGUCCAGACUCCUACGGGAGGCAGCAGUAGGAAAUCUUCCGCAAUGGGCGAAAGCCUGACGGAGCAACGCCGCGUGAGUGAUGAAGGUCUUCGGAUCGUAAAACUCUGUUAUUAGGGAAGAACAAAUGUGUAAGUAACGAUGCACGUCUUGACGGUACCUAAUCAGAAAGCCACGGCUAACUACGU
This 496-nucleotide ribosomal RNA is filed under the name uncultured bacterium. Its description in RNAcentral is "partial 16S ribosomal RNA". It matches the Rfam family "Bacterial small subunit ribosomal RNA", at positions 28 to 506 of the family's 1533-position model. The record is from RNAcentral.